Molecule: ribosomal RNA, 1341 nt
Filed under: uncultured bacterium
Lineage: Bacteria
Description: 16S ribosomal RNA
Rfam family: Bacterial small subunit ribosomal RNA
Source: RNAcentral
GACGAACGCUGGUUGCGUGCUUAACACAUGCAAGUCGAACGGAAAGGCCCUGCUUUUGUGGGGUGCUCGAGUGGCGAACGGGUGAGUAACACGUGAGUAACCUGCCCUUGACUUUGGGAUAACUUCAGGAAACUGGGGCUAAUACCGGAUAGGAGCUCCUGCUGCAUGGUGGGGGUUGGAAAGUUUCGGCGGUUGGGGAUGGACUCGCGGCUUAUCAGCUUGUUGGUGGGGUAGUGGCUUACCAAGGCUUUGACGGGUAGCCGGCCUGAGAGGGUGACCGGCCACAUUGGGACUGAGAUACGGCCCAGACUCCUACGGGAGGCAGCAGUGGGGAAUAUUGCACAAUGGGCGGAAGCCUGAUGCAGCAACGCCGCGUGCGGGAUGACGGCCCUCGGGUUGAAAACCGCUUUCGCCUGUGACGAAUCGUGAGUGACGGUAAUGGGUAAAGAAGUACCGGCUAACUACGUGCCAGUAGCCGCGGUUAUACUUAAGGUGCGAGCGUUGUCCGGAUUUAUUGGGCGUAAAGGGCUCGUAGUGGUGAAUCGCGUCGGAAGUGUAAUCUUGGGGCCUUUCCUGAGCGUGCUUUCGAUACGGGUUGACUUGAGGAAGGUAGGGGAGAAUGGAAUUCCUGGUGGAGCGGUGGAAUGCGCAGAUAUCAGGAGGAACACCAGUGGCGAAGGCGGUUCUCUGGGCCUUUCCUGACGCUGAGGAGCGAAAGCGUGGGGAGCGAACAGGCUUAGAUACCCUGGUAGUCCACGCUGUAAACGGUGGGUACUAGGUGUGGGGUCCAUUCCACGGGUUCCGCGCCGUAGCUAACGCUUUAAGUACCCCGCCUGGGGAGUACGGCCGCAAGGCUAAAACUCAAAGGAAUUGACGGGGCCCCGCACAAGCGGCGGAGCAUGCGGAUUAAUUCGAUGCAACGCGUAGAACCUUACCUGGGUUUGACAUGGAUCGGGAGUGCUCAGAGAUGGGUGUGCCUCUUUUGGGGUCGGUUCACAGGUGGUGCAUGGCUGUCGUCAGCUCGUGUCGUGAGAUGUUGGGUUAAGUCCCGCAACGAGCGCAACCCUUGUUCACUGUUGCCAGCACGUUAUGGUGGGGACUCAGUGGAGACCGCCGGGGUCAACUCGGAGGAAGGUGGGGAUGACGUCAAGUCAUCAUGCCCCUUAUGUCCAGGGCUUCACGCAUGCUACAAUGGCUGGUACAGAGAGUGGCGAGCCUGUGAGGGUGAGCGAAUCUCGGAAAGCCGGUCUCAGUUCGGAUUGGGGUCUGCAACUCGACCUCAUGAAGUCGGAGUCGCUAGUAAUCGCAGAUCAGCAACGCUGCGGUGAAUACGUUCCCGGG